This is a long non-coding RNA of Neopelma chrysocephalum (saffron-crested tyrant-manakin), 311 nucleotides long. RefSeq lists it as uncharacterized. The record is from RefSeq and is a predicted model, not a curated record. Lineage: Eukaryota; Metazoa; Chordata; Aves; Passeriformes; Pipridae. The transcript is spliced from 4 exons.
CGAGGGUCGGCGUUAGGAAUGGCGCUGGGAGCGGCGCGAGGGCCCCUUGCUGCUGCCGGCGGCUCCUGUCAGCUGCUGGUUUAAAGUCCAGCGGGUCCUCGAACUUCCUGAACUCGAGACGCUGAUGGGCCCUCCAGCAUCCCGAUUCCCUGCCAAUGCGGUGAACAAGAAACACAGGGAACCAGCAAAAGGCAUGUCCUGGAUGCUGACGCUGUUUUGACGUUCCCUUUCCAAAGUACAGAUCCAUUGUUGCACAGCUGGCCUACACGUCUGCAGUUUGCAAAUCACCAUAUUUGAUCAUCACCUCAAGG